Molecule: long non-coding RNA, 314 nt
Filed under: Numida meleagris (helmeted guineafowl)
Lineage: Eukaryota; Metazoa; Chordata; Aves; Galliformes; Numididae
Description: lncRNA (ENSNMEG00000019769.1)
Source: RNAcentral
CUAGCGUGAAAGUUUGUAUUAUUAUGAUUCAUAUUCUGCAAAAUUGUACUAAUACUGUCAAUUUGUCCAUGUUAUGCUGCUAGAAAAAUCCUGUUUUGGGAGAGGGAUGGAGAGGAUGGAGGUAGCAAAGAUCCAAUUUCUUGUCUGGUUUAUAGGGCACAUUAACUUUUGAACUUGGAGAUCCGUGCUGCUGUGCUACAUGCUGAGUGCUUCAGAGAGGAUCCAAAAUCAUCACCCUUGAAGGUUUUAGAAACCAUGAGCAACCUUGUCUGAAAUCAGUUUUGACCUUCCUUUGAAUAGAAAUUGGAGUAGAG